UCCUUUGGCGUCGAGCGGCGGAGGGUGAGUAAUGCUUGGGAAUGUGCCUUAUGGUGGGGGACAACAGUUGGAAACGACUGCUAAUACCGCAUAAUGUCUUCGGACCAAAGUGGGGGACCUUCGGGCCUCACGCCAUAAGAUCAGCCCAAGUGGGAUUAGCUAGUUGGUAAGGUAAUGGCUUACCAAGGCGACGAUCCCUAGCUGGUUUGAGAGGAUGAUCAGCCACACUGGGACUGAGACACGGCCCAGACUCCUACGGGAGGCAGCAGUGGGGAAUAUUGCACAAUGGGCGCAAGCCUGAUGCAGCCAUGCCGCGUGUGUGAAGAAGGCCUUCGGGUUGUAAAGCACUUUCAGUAAGGAGGAAAGGUUAAGUGUUAAUAGCACUUAGCUGUGACGUUACUUACAGAAGAAGCACCGGCUAACUCCGUGCCAGCAGCCGCGGUAAUACGGAGGGUGCGAGCGUUAAUCGGAAUUACUGGGCGUAAAGCGUACGCAGGCGGUUUGUUAAGCGAGAUGUGAAAGCCCUGGGCUCAACCUGGGAACUGCAUUUCGAACUGGCAAACUAGAGUGUGAUAGAGGGUGGUAGAAUUUCAGGUGUAGCGGUGAAAUGCGUAGAGAUCUGAAGGAAUACCGAUGGCGAAGGCAGCCACCUGGGUCAACACUGACGCUCAUGUACGAAAGCGUGGGGGAGCACACAGGAUUA
RNAcentral lists this ribosomal RNA (703 nucleotides) under Pseudoalteromonas arabiensis. RNAcentral describes it as "bacterial SSU rRNA". It matches the Rfam family "Bacterial small subunit ribosomal RNA", at positions 81 to 780 of the family's 1533-position model. The record is from RNAcentral. Lineage: Bacteria; Pseudomonadati; Pseudomonadota; Gammaproteobacteria; Alteromonadales; Pseudoalteromonadaceae.